GAGUAUUAAAACCCCUUUUCCCAAUUUUCAUUUUAUUUUCUCCUCUUUUCUUCUCUCACUCCUAUCACUCUUUCAGACUCCUUUUCUCUCUUACUUCCAUGCUCUCCCUUCUGACUAACAUCCCCCACUAUUUCUAUCCUUAGCACCAUCGUGACCCUCAGAUCUCUGGUUGAAGUUCAACCUAGAUCUUCAAACAUUCAACCUUAGCCCUUAUAACCCUACCCAAUUGAUGAACCCUAACCAUUGACUUCAUCCAACUCCAUGAACCCUAACACAAACCUAGUAGAAUCCUAACGACCUAAGAACCCAAACCCAUGAACCCUAAUAAUCUAAGAACCCUAACUCAUGAACCCUAACUCAUGAACCUUAACCCAUGAAUCCUAUCAGCCUAAGAACCCUUACCUUGGAGAAUAUGAAUCUUCAUCUCCGUCCUUCGGCCAACCACUCACCUAACCCAAAUUCUCACCUUCCUCACCCAAAUCCAUCCAAACUUGAGUCCUGGCCAUAAAUUCAAACACUUUGCUAAUGAAUUAAACCCUCAAAUUCGAAAAUCAAUCAACAAAAUCUCAUACUCUAAGAACCUAGAGCCCCUUCUGGAUGACCCUAAACCAAACCCUAACCCACAUUAAAACAACACAAAUCACCAACAAAUAUUAAUAUACAUUCCAUCUCAUCUAAGAAACAACAAAAGAGUAAGUAUCAAUGUCUACCAACCUAUAGAGAUAAGGAUCUCUGGUAAAGGUGGUUGAAUAGAGGUUGAUGCUCAAGUCAACUUAGGGUUUCUAUGUGAAACCCUAAAUGCUUCAAUCGGAGCUUUGGUGUUUUGGUUGGGAUUCUGCAGCAACUUAGGGUUUUUUGUUCUAAUUUUUUCCGUCCUUUUUUAGUUUUUGUCUUAGGCUUUUAUAAUAUUUAGAAUUAGGUCAUAAAUUAUGUCUGAUUGAUUUGUUUAGGAAAGAUUUUAUCAGAUUAGAUUCAAUCUAUUGUAAUUGCUCAAACCCAUGGGCCUUUGAUGUAUGUGGACGAAUUUUCAAUUUAAUCUUAGUUUUCCAAUGUA
Molecule: long non-coding RNA, 1054 nt
Organism: Lathyrus oleraceus (garden pea)
Lineage: Eukaryota; Viridiplantae; Streptophyta; Magnoliopsida; Fabales; Fabaceae
Exons: 2
Source: RefSeq, a predicted model, not a curated record